RNAcentral lists this long non-coding RNA (3109 nucleotides) under Gossypium barbadense (sea-island cotton). RNAcentral's name for it is "long non-coding RNA (GBAR_LNC006135)". Lineage: Eukaryota; Viridiplantae; Streptophyta; Magnoliopsida; Malvales; Malvaceae. The record is from RNAcentral.
AUUUUUACAAUGGUUACUUCUUCAUUCAUCUCCUUCCCAUCACUUCUUCCAACUAAGCCCUUACCAAUUCAUCACCAAAAUCAAUAUCAUUACACCAUAUCACGUGUUUGUUUCUUUUUCUGGAUAGGGGACCUUAAAGUUUAUUACAAGUUGGUUAGUAUAAACUAGAGGAAGAUUGACUGAGGAGUUAGAUUUUAAGUUUUAAGUUCAUUGUUAGCAGUAUUUUUUGGUUCUUAAAUUGAUAUUAAUACAGAUACUUGAUUGGCACUUUCUUUUAAGGUCAAUUUUCCUUUUGGUUGUCAAUUGGUUUCAAUCUACGACCAGUAACUUAGUGUGUACGUCUUUGUUAGAACUUUUAAGUUAUUUGAGUACUUUAGAUGUAUGAUGUUGCUGUUUAUAUAUGGAUUCUUCAGAGUAUGAUGGAAAUUAAAUUCAUUAUCAUCAUCUUUUUCGGUUUUGGUUUUGGUUUUUUUAUAUUAUUUUUUAAACUACUGUUGAUUAUUAUUAUUUUGCUGCAAGGGUUGUUGGAAGUGUUGUACAUCCUAAAUUCAAAGUUAGAUUUCAGGCUCGUUUUGAUUUAUAUUAUUCUUAUAUUGCGGUAAUCUCUAUUUGAUAUGUAUGAGUGUUGUAAUUUAUUAUAAAUUAGAUGUAAUUUGUUGCAUUUUGAUGUUAUUAUAAUGUGUUUGGUUAUUUUGCUUUUUAUUGUUUGUAGAUAUUUGUUGAUUCAUUUUGUUACUUUGUGAUUUGUUUUGUGUUCAAUAAGUUGAAAGAGAAAUGGAUUAGGAAGUUGGGAUGUUUUCUUUAAUUGUUGAAAGGUUUGAAAAUAUUAAGGUUUUUUUUUUGGCGAAAGAAAGGAUAAAAGUUUAAUGAAUGAGGUAAAAGAAAUUCCAUCACUUAAAGAGGUCUUGAAUAUAUUUUUGUUGAGGGAAAAAUAAUAUAAUAUAUUUAUUUGCUAAUUGAAACCACUUGAAUAAUGACCAUAAUGUAUUCUAGAAAAUAUAGUUAACACAUCCACUAUAUUAUACAAGAUUUUAGUAUUCAUUAAAAAGAACUUACUUAGCUUAAGUUAUAAUUUUAUUUGUAACGCCCCAAAAUUCUUAUUUUUAUUAUUGUGAAAAUGUGACACAAUUCUGUAUCUACUUCAGUGGUUAAGUGUUCUGGGUGUGUGUGAGAGGUCCCAAGUUAAAGCCAUGUCUUUGGCAAAAUUUUUUAUUUCUUCUAAAUCAAGCCCUAUCUCUGGUCAGUACGCUUAAGUUAAUUAUUUGCAAAAUUAUGUCAGAAUGGGCUUGUUAGUCUGGUUGUUAAGUGGAGCCUUGGGUGAUGGAGGUCAUGUGUUCAAUUCUCAGCGUUGGCGAGAAGGUAGAAUUUUGCUCUUAAUUUCUGCUAGAGUUGUGCUGAUGUUGGACUUCAAGUUGUCGGUGGUUAGUAGGAUUUGAAGGAGAAAAAUAAGGGUUUGGAUGUAAUGGGGAUUUGGUAGAACUCUUUGGUGCCCCAAAAUUCUCUCUGUAGAAAAAAAUAUUAUUGUUCUUCUCCUCUCUUUGCCGAAUUUUUCCUUUUCCUUUUUCAUUCUCCUCUUUGUCGUUUCUUUUUCUCCUCAUCGCUGCCAUAUUUUAUUUUUGAUCUUCUCUUCAGUCCGUCUCUUUCUUGUGCAACAUUGGUUUACGUUUUGAUUCGGUAAGAUGAGUAACAUAGUUUUAUUUUCAUUAUUAGCUUUUUAUUGAUGUGCGCUGUUAAAUGCUGAUUAGGGGAAGAUUUAGGGAUUUGUAAUCACUGUUUGGAGACAUAGGUUCGUUGAAUUCUGGUUACUUGAUAGAAGGUAAGGUUUUUGAAGGUUUUAGGUUGAACAUCUCAUUAUAGUUUCGUUUAAGUUCCAUUAGUAACAUUGAUUUUGGGCAAUAGAAUGUCGAUUUCUAGUUUCUGGAGUGUUCGUGGUUGCAUUAGCAUCGAAUCGAUACCAGGUGUGUACUCAAAAAUACAUAAAAUAGGGUUUCAGCGAAAGCUAAAAACCCCACUGUCGACGCCAUAAGGGCGUGUGGUCGCCCGUGUGGUGGGCCGUGUGCCAUUACACAGGUGUGUGAUCGACGAGGCCAGGUCGUGCGAGCAAGAAACGGCCGUGUGAUAGCCAGGUAGGCCGUGUGCGACACACGGGCUAGACUAAUUUGGGCCGUGUGGGCCCAUACAGGCAUGUGGGAUUUUAGGCCAGGUCGUCUGAUCCACACGGGCAAGCCACAUGGGUGUGUGAGCCCAUUAAUCUAAAAUGAUUCCUAUGAUUGUACGAGUCUACCAAGUCGACUGUGAACCUGUAGUAGGGUCGGUAAGCAUUACCUAGACCCCUAAAUAUAUGAUCUGAGUGUAUGUGAUGCAUGAUAAAUUAUGCAUGAUUACUGAUAUAUAUAUGUAUACGUAUGACUAAUGGUUCCAUAAAAGCAUGACAUAUUGUAUGUUUGCAUUGCAUUGGGCUGGGAUGAUGAUAUUUGGAGGAAGUGUAUUAAAAGGCUUUAAGCCUAUUUAUCUGGUAGCACAGCUGUAAUAUACUGAAUAUGUACCACAUUCAGUACUACUUGGAGUGUAGGGAUGGAUGGGUGUUUUAAACCCCGUAUGGAGUGUAGGGAUAGAUGAAGAUGGUAUGUAGAGACUGGUGGAUAGGACUCUGUUACUGAUUACUGUUUGCAUUACUAAUACUUUGAUGGGCUGAAGCUUUAAUGCAUAUCUGAUAUUGGACUAAAAUGGGCUAAGGCCCAAACUACUACUGUAAUUGAAAUGGGCUUAGGCCCAGAAUGCGUUUGACUGUUUAUUGUGUUUUCUGUGGGGAUUACACAUUGAGUUUACGUAAACUCACCCCUUUUUGUUUUAUCUGUAUAGGUAAUCCCCAGACUUGGGAGGAUUGGUGCGGCGGAGGACUCAAUGGUGACCACAUGACUACUAAACUGUUUAAAUUUCAUUUAAGGUUUUUACUUCCUAUUAUUUUUGGGGUAUUUUUGAUGUAAUGUGGACUGUUGCCUUUAUUUUGGACUUUAACUAUUUACAUGGACUUUUAAACUGCAAACCUUAAUGAAAACUCGGUUUAAGUAGUAAUAACUCUUUUUCUUAACGCGAAUGAGUUUCUUCA